GGANUUGCGNAUGGGCGAAAGCCUGACGCAGCAACGCCGCGUGGGGGAUGAAGCUUCUCGGAGUGUAAACCCCUUUCGACCCGGACGAAUGCCCGCAAGGGUUUGACGGUACGGGUAUAAGAAGCCCCGGCUAACUACGUGCCAGCAGCCGCGGUAAAACGUAGGGGGCCAGCGUUGCUCGGAAUUACUGGGCGUAAAGGGUCCGUAGGCGGUGUGGCAAGUCGGAAGUGAAAUCUCUGGGCUUAACUCAGAGGCUGCUUCCGAAACUGCCGUGCUAGAGUGCGAGAGAGGCAAGUGGAAUUGCGGGUGUAGCGGUGAAAUGCGUAGAUAUCCGCAGGAACAUCCGAGGCGAAAGCGGCUUGCUGGAUCGCAACUGACGCUGAGGGACGAAAGCUAGGGGAGCAAACAGGAUUAGAUACCCUGGUAGUCCUAGCCCUAAACCAUCAGGACUUGGGGUUUGCCCUGUACGGGGCAAGUCCCGUAGCUAACGCGUUAAGUCCUGCGCCUGGGGAGUACGGUCGCAAGGCUGAAACUCAAAGAAAUUGACGGA
RNAcentral lists this ribosomal RNA (550 nucleotides) under uncultured bacterium. Its description in RNAcentral is "bacterial SSU rRNA". It matches the Rfam family "Bacterial small subunit ribosomal RNA", at positions 359 to 917 of the family's 1533-position model. The record is from RNAcentral.